Long non-coding RNA from Phyllostomus discolor (pale spear-nosed bat), 539 nucleotides. RefSeq lists it as uncharacterized. The record is from RefSeq and is a predicted model, not a curated record. The transcript is spliced from 2 exons. Lineage: Eukaryota; Metazoa; Chordata; Mammalia; Chiroptera; Phyllostomidae.
UUUUAAACCAGCGCCGGUGAACAGACAAUCUGGUGUUUAGCAAUGGGUGCUGUUGCAAACAGCUCUGCUCCUUUGCUGCGUGUCCUGAGCACUCGUCCAAGCGUCUCUUUAGAACAGCUCCCGGGGCAGCGGUUUCUGAGUCGCAGCCGGCGGGGUGGCAGCCCUGGGACAGCGUGCGUUCUGCUCCAGGUUCACGCCGCCCCUCGCGUCCGCCCUGUUCUCCGCUUUUCCAUCCUCACUGGCGACAAGUAAUACUUCAUUUCCAUUUCUCUGUUGGCUAGUGAGGCUAACCAGCCUGUCCCAUGGGUAGCAAUCAUGAACUUUCUCCUUUCACGAAUGUGCCCGUUCAUGGCUUCUCACUGCUACAAAGAGUGCUCUCAUUUUGUGGUCAAAUAAAACCCAAACAAAAACUCAGCUCUCUGAAACAGUUUUUCUUUAGGUUUGACAAAAACUUUGUGUUUUCUGUGAGUCGUUGCAGUUUUAUCUGUUAGAGAGAGGAAGGGAUUACAAUUCCUACCUCCCGGAACCUUUUUCUUAAA